UCCACUGAGUUCCUUGGAGAUGGAAACGGCUCUCACUGUGGCUUUUGGCUUUCCAGCCACUUCCAGUAGGCAGCACGGGUACUGUGGCAGCAGAAGCCAGCUGAUACACUAAACCAUGCUAAAGUAGUGUUUAGAGAAAUGGUAAUUACUAACAUCCUUUCUCAGUCAAGCCGACACUAACCAGGCCUACUGCUAGGUGUGUGUAUAUACACACUCACACUCAAUAGAUAAAUAGAUACGUGCAUAUACUCCAGGAAAAAUAUCUCUCUGGAAGGUGACAAGGUCUCACUUUAAAUCAAGUACCUGACACUAAUAAAAACAAUGUAUUCAGCCAGAAGAUCUCGCACACCGACUGGCUACAAGGAACAAAACAUUUGACUCUUGGGAAAAGCAAAACCAGUGCCCUGUGAUGCCUUCAUGCAUUAUGAGACUUGGACCUGACUACAGAUGAUUAUACACUGAUAAAUACUGCCACCAAUGCUCCAGUUGUACUGCUGGUCUUCCCAGGCAUGUUCAACACUGAGGAAAGCCUGAACACUGAUGCUCUCUCUCUGCUGGGUAUUGGAAAAACAGAAUAGAGGAGCAAGAGUGCAGCAGCAUCCCACCACCAGCCACAGGGUUGUCUUCAAAACAGGACGGGACUGAGUGGUACCAUAGGCAAGAGCCACAGGCAGAGGGGAGUUUGCCAAAACCUGUUAGAGCCCUGAUGGGUGACUGCUGUUCAAUGUGAAUUACAGCAACAGACGCCUGUUUGCCAGGGCAAUUGUGCAAGGAGAGAGCCUGUCUCUACAGCCAAUGUGGAAAUGGUGAAUGAAAAUGACCAAACAGCAAAAGCCUUUCUCAGCCUGCAUGGGCAGAUGUGUUGAGGUGCACAGUGCUCCCAAGCAGUGCAGAUUCAAAAUGCCUGGCAAUAAGAAUCGAGUUGAUGUCCAAGAGAUGAACAUAGAAAAUAAACAAAAAUUUGUAUGACUUAGUUCUGCUGAACUUGUGGGAGAUUAAAAAAUUUAAUUUCAAGUGAGAUCCAGCUUCUGCAAACAACCUAAACAUUGGAAAACAGAUCAUUCCUGCUCCCAGCACUCUCACAGCUGGAUGACAAGAGAUCUGGGAACAAUCUCUGUACUCUCUGUGCAUUGGUUGUAGCAUCUCUGGUGCUGUGGAAGUCCACAUCUGUGAUCUUUCAGCAAAUUCCCUCUGUGACACGCGGCGGCUUGAGGGAUGUCCAAGUGAUGUAAGUCUCGAGAGCAGCAUGAACAUAUAUAAAGAUAUAAAGCUCUUGGAGAGUGUCCAAAGAAGGGCAAGGAAGAUGGUGAAGGGCCUGCAGAGGAAGCUGCUGUGGUCACUUGGUUUGUUCAGCCUGGAGAAGAGGAGACUGAGGACAAAUACACCUUCCUCGUGAGGGAAGGAGCAGGGGCAGGCACUGAUCUCUCCUGUGUGGUGACAGGACCUGGGGAAACAGCACAAAGCUGAGUCAGGGAAGGUUUAAGGUCAGUAUUAGGAAAAGGUUCUUCACACAGAAGGUGGUUGGGAACUGGUCAUGGCAUCAAGACAGAGUUCAAUAAAUAUUUGAUCAACACUCUCAGGGCACAUGGUGUGAUUCUUGGGACUGUUCUGGACAGGGCCAAAAGUUGGACUUCAGUGUUCCUUGUGGGUCCUUUCCAACUCAGGAUAUUCUAUGAUUCUAUGAUUAGCAUUAACUAGCUGCCACUGUACAGCAAGCAUGGAAACCAAGGAAUCCUCCCUAUUACUGCUUCCAUUUUGUUGUUACCUCUUGGUUUCACACUAACUUCUGAAAAUAAAUCUAUUUUGCAUGCAGGAGUGGAAAUUAGUUUCAGGAUGAAGAUACAAUUUUAAAUUAAUAAUAAUACCAUGUCCACUGCAGCACAAUGCCAUCAGUCUCCAGCUUCAUUCUCAUUCUGUAACACAGCAAAGGUGUUAUUUCCAUGUGAAGGACAGAAAAGAAUACACAGCUUAUCUGAAGAAUCCUAAGGGUCAAAUACUGACACGACUGAGCAGGAAGCAAAUUUUGGAUGAAUAAUACCUUAUGAAAUGUACUACUUGGUUGACUAAUAAAAAGAACCUAGAGCUGUUAGCAUCCAUAACUGUAUUGUGUUUAUGUAACUCCAGACAGCACAGAAAUAGCCCUGAACAUAUGCUAUUUCUUUUCUUAGAAAACUACUGUAGUUCAUUCAAAGAUUAGUUCCCCUUUCCAGUGAGGGAAACAUUUCUUCUCACCUUUCCCAGAUUUUUGGAGGUUGCUGAAAUCUCAUGCACAGAGUCCUUAAAUCAUUGCCUGUUCUCUGCUCUUUGAGGACAUCUUUGGUGGAACCGUGCCUUGCUUUUAUUGGUUCCAGAGUCUUUCUAUCCUGUUUUCAUCUGCAACAUUUAAAAACACUCCUCACCACAUGGAAGCUGGGGAUCUGAUAGUACAAAUAUUUCACACUAAUAUCCAUUUGUUGAACUUACUUUUAUGCACAAGUCCUGAGAAGCUCUGUCUUACAGAUUUAAGAGGAUUUAGGAUCUUGUUUACUGCCUGGGGCAAUAACCAGACUUUCUUAUGGGACAUGCCAAGCUUUUGUGCAGACAUUGCAGAUACUGAGGCUCCCAUGUGUUUGGGAGAUGAACGCUCCAUGCUACAGAAGUGAUAGUUCAUGGGAUAAGCACCAGUGGGCAGAUUCAGAGAAGAUGUUUAUAUCAAGACUCAUGUUACUCACGCCAUGUCAGUUCCUUUUGAAGAAGAUAACGUGCCAUUUUUUUCUUUAAAACAAAAGAAAAAAACCCAACAAAAACCCAAAAACAACAAC
Molecule: long non-coding RNA, 2801 nt
Organism: Melospiza melodia melodia
Lineage: Eukaryota; Metazoa; Chordata; Aves; Passeriformes; Passerellidae
Exons: 6
Source: RefSeq, a predicted model, not a curated record